Molecule: ribosomal RNA, 164 nt
Filed under: Austrostipa juncifolia
Lineage: Eukaryota; Viridiplantae; Streptophyta; Magnoliopsida; Poales; Poaceae
Also listed under: 1 other name
Description: 5.8S ribosomal RNA
Rfam family: 5.8S ribosomal RNA
About the family: 5.8S ribosomal RNA (5.8S rRNA) is a component of the large subunit of the eukaryotic ribosome. It is transcribed by RNA polymerase I as part of the 45S precursor that also contains 18S and 28S rRNA.
Source: RNAcentral
CACAUGACUCUCGGCAACGGAUAUCUCGGCUCUCGCAUCGAUGAAGAACGUAGCGAAAUGCGAUACCUGGUGUGAAUUGCAGAAUCCCGCGAACCAUCGAGUCUUUGAACGCAAGUUGCGCCCGAGGCCACCCGGCUGAGGGCACGCCUGCCUGGGCGUCACGC